Coccomyxa sp. Obi is the source of this 72-nucleotide non-coding RNA. The record is from the annotation of a GenBank genome assembly. NCBI's taxonomy places the organism in Eukaryota, Viridiplantae, Chlorophyta, Trebouxiophyceae, Coccomyxaceae.
GCCCGGGUAGCUCAAUCGGUAGAGCGCAUGGCUCUUAACCUUGUGGUCGAGGGUUCAAAUUUCCCUCGGGUG